UAAGAUUUUAAUUGAAUGCUAAAAGAAUGGAAAUUUAGAAAAAAACUUUUUUGAAAUUAAAAAUUGAAUUUUUUUUAAUUUGUGCAGAAACAAUUAUUUAUAUUAAAGACAAGAAGACCCUAUGAAUUUAAAGAUUAAUUUAAUUAAUAUAAUUAACUGAAUUAAUCUUGAUUGGGGCGAUCAAAAAAUAUUAAUAACUUUUUUAAAUUAAAAUGAUCUAUUAUUAAUAAAAUAAUGAAAUAAAUACUCUAGGGAUAACAGCGUAAUAAUUUUUGAUAGAUCUUAUAGACAAAAUAGUUUGCGACCUCGAUGUUGGAUUAGGAUUCUUUUUUAAUGAAGAUGUUAAAAAAAGAAGUUUGUUCAACUUUUAAAAUCCUACUUGAUCUGA
Molecule: ribosomal RNA, 388 nt
Filed under: Hyalomma scupense
Lineage: Eukaryota; Metazoa; Arthropoda; Arachnida; Ixodida; Ixodidae
Description: partial 16S ribosomal RNA
Rfam family: Archaeal large subunit ribosomal RNA (bases 254-388)
Source: RNAcentral